AAGCAUACUUAGCAAGGGAGACACUGUGACCAUGAAGAUGGCAUUUCCAGGUGAGACUUAUCCUUUGCCCUCCAUAUGUGCUGACCACUGUGAUUUUGCUAAAUGUAGGUCACUUGACUGCAUAAUCUGUGGUAGUGGGGGACUGCACUCUUCAUCUCCCUG
Molossus molossus (Pallas's mastiff bat) is the source of this 162-nucleotide small nuclear RNA. RefSeq annotates it as U1 spliceosomal RNA. The record is from RefSeq and is a predicted model, not a curated record. NCBI's taxonomy places the organism in Eukaryota, Metazoa, Chordata, Mammalia, Chiroptera, Molossidae. The transcript has a single exon.